RNAcentral lists this ribosomal RNA (525 nucleotides) under uncultured bacterium. Its description in RNAcentral is "partial 16S ribosomal RNA". It matches the Rfam family "Bacterial small subunit ribosomal RNA", at positions 28 to 546 of the family's 1533-position model. The record is from RNAcentral.
AGUGAACGCUGGCGGCAGGCCUAACACAUGCAAGUCGAGCGGCAGCGCGGGGGCAACCCUGGCGGCGAGCGGCGGACGGGUGAGGAAUUCGUCGGAAUCUGCCUUUUUGUGGGGGAUAACGUAGGGAAACUUACGCUAAUACCGCAUACGUCCUACGGGAGAAAGUGGGGGACCGCAAGGCCUCACGCAGAAAGAUGAGCCGACGACCGAUUAGCUAGUUGGUGGGGUAAAGGCCCACCAAGGCGACGAUCGGUAGCUGGUCUGAGAGGAUGAUCAGCCAAGCGGGGGCGGACACCACGCCAAGUCUCCGAGGGGGGGCAGCAGUGGGAAUGAGUGAGCAGUGGACGUACGCCUGCACCGGCGAGGCGGUGGGUGUGAAGAAGGCUGUCGGGUUAUAAAGAACUUUGGCACGAAAACAACUCCGGGGAUCUAAUACUUGGGGGGUAUUGUCGUACAAAAAGAAAAAGCAGCGGCUAACUGCGGCACAGCGGCGGCGGUAAUAGAUAGGAAGAGCCUCGCUUCAAC